This is an RNA transcript of Nannospalax galili (Upper Galilee mountains blind mole rat), 711 nucleotides long. It is a transcript of the gene named 60S acidic ribosomal protein P0 pseudogene, with no coding region annotated. The record is from RefSeq and is a predicted model, not a curated record. Lineage: Eukaryota; Metazoa; Chordata; Mammalia; Rodentia; Spalacidae. The transcript is spliced from 2 exons.
AUGGUUGUUAACUGCCGUGUGACUUCUGGGAAUCAAGGCCGAGUCCUCUGCAAGAAUACUGCUGCCCAUGCAGGUACCAUUGCUCCAUGUGCACUCACUGUGGUGGCUCAGAACACUGGUCUGGGGCCCAAGAAGAAUCUUUUCCAGGCCUUAGGCAUUACCAUGAAAACCUCCAGGGGCACCAUUGAAAUUUUGAGUGAUGUGCAGCUGAUAAAGACUGGAGACAAAGUGGGAGCCAGUGAAGCCACACUGCUGAACAUGCUGAACAUCUCCCCUUUCUCCUUUGGGGUGAUCAUACAGCAGGUGUUUGACAAUGACAGCAUCUACAACCCAGAAGUGCUUGACAUCACAGAGGAAACUGCAUUCUCAUUUCCUGGAGGGUGUCUGCAAGGUGGCCAGGGUUUGUCUGCAGAUUGGUUACCCAACCGUUCCCUCAGUCCCACAUUCUAUCAUGAGUGGGUACAAGCGUGUCCUGGCUUUGUCUGGGGAGACUGAUUAUACCUUCCCACUUGUUGAAAAGGUCAAGGCCUUCUUGGCUGAUCCAUCUCAUUUGUGGCUGCUGCCCCUGUAGUUGGUGCUGCUGCUGCUGCUGUUGUUGCUGCUUCUGCUGCUGCCACCACUGCUGCUCCUGCUGCAGCCCCAGCCAUGGUUGAAGCUAAGGAAGAGUCAGAGGAGUCAGAUGAGGAUAUGGGAUUUUAUCUCUUUGACUAA